GACGAACGCUGGCGGCGUGCUUAACACAUGCAAGUCGAGCGGUAAGGCCCUUUCGGGGGUACACGAGCGGCGAACGGGCGAGUAACACGUGGGUGACCUGCCCUCAGCUCUGGGAUAAGCCUGGGAAACCGGGUCUAAUACCGGAUAUGACUCCAUGACGCAUGUUGUGGGGUGAAAGCCUUGUGCGGCUGAGGAUGGGCCCGCGGCCUAUCAGCUUGUUGGUGGGGUNAUGGCCUACCAAGGCGACGACGGUAGCCGGCCUGAGAGGGCGACCGGCCACACUGGGACUGAGACACGGCCCAGACUCCUACGGGAGCAGCAGUGGGGAAUCUUGCGCAAUGGGCGAAAGCCUGACGCAGCGACGCCGCGUGA
RNAcentral lists this ribosomal RNA (372 nucleotides) under uncultured bacterium. RNAcentral's name for it is "bacterial SSU rRNA". It matches the Rfam family "Bacterial small subunit ribosomal RNA", at positions 28 to 404 of the family's 1533-position model. The record is from RNAcentral.